Molecule: ribosomal RNA, 440 nt
Filed under: uncultured bacterium
Lineage: Bacteria
Description: bacterial SSU rRNA
Rfam family: Bacterial small subunit ribosomal RNA
Source: RNAcentral
CUACGGGAGGCAGCAGUGGGGAAUAUUGGACAAUGGGCGCAAGCCUGAUCCAGCCAUGCCGCGUGAGUGAUGAAGGCCUUAGGGUUGUAAAGCUCUUUUGCCGGGGACGAUAAUGACGGUACCCGGAGAAUAAGUCCCGGCUAACUUCGUGCCAGCAGCCGCGGUAAUACGAAGGGGACUAGCGUUGUUCGGAAUCACUGGGCGUAAAGCGCACGUAGGCGGAUAUGUCAGUCAGGGGUGAAAUCCCGGGGCUCAACCUCGGAACUGCCUUUGAUACAGCAUGUCUUGAGUCCGAUAGAGGUGGGUGGAAUUCCUAGUGUAGAGGUGAAAUUCGUAGAUAUUAGGAAGAACACCGGUGGCGAAGGCGGCCCACUGGAUCGGUACUGACGCUGAGGUGCGAAAGCGUGGGGAGCAAACAGGAUUAGAUACCCCUGUAGUCC